Molecule: ribosomal RNA, 343 nt
Filed under: uncultured Methanosaeta sp.
Lineage: Archaea; Methanobacteriati; Methanobacteriota; Methanomicrobia; Methanotrichales; Methanotrichaceae
Description: bacterial SSU rRNA
Rfam family: Archaeal small subunit ribosomal RNA
Source: RNAcentral
GGCCGUCGUCAGUUCGUACUGUGAAGCAUCCUGUUAAGUCAGGCAACGAGCGAGACCCACGUCCACAGUUGCCAGCAUACCCUCCGGGGUGAUGGGUACACUGUGGAGACCGCCGCUGCUAAAGCGGAGGAAGGAGUGGGCAACGGUAGGUCAGUAUGCCCCGAAUCUCCCGGGCUACACGCGGGCUACAAUGGUUGGUACAAUGGGCAUCUACCCCGAAAGGGGAAGGAAAUCUCUUAAAGCCAAUCGUAGUUCGGAUUGAGGGCUGCAACUCGCCCUCAUGAAGCUGGAAUCCGUAGUAAUCGCGUUUCAACAGAACGCGGUGAAUACGUCCCUGCUCCUU